This 460-nucleotide ribosomal RNA is filed under the name uncultured bacterium. Its description in RNAcentral is "partial 16S ribosomal RNA". It matches the Rfam family "Bacterial small subunit ribosomal RNA", at positions 338 to 795 of the family's 1533-position model. The record is from RNAcentral.
CCUACGGGGGGCAGCAGUGAGGAAUAUUGGUCAAUGGGCGCGAGCCUGAACCAGCCAAGUCGCGUAAGGGAAGACGGCCCUACGGGUUGUAAACCUCUUUUGCCGGGGAGCAACGGGCGCCACGUGUGGCGCCACUGAGAGUACCCGGAGAAAAAGCAUCGGCUAACUCCGUGCCAGCAGCCGCGGUAAUACGGAGGAUGCGAGCGUUAUCCGGAUUUAUUGGGUUUAAAGGGUGCGUAGGCGGAGCGUUAAGUCAGUGGUCAAAUUGAGGGGCUCAACCCCUUCCCGCCAUUGAAACUGGCGCUCUUGAGUGGAAGAGAAGUAUGCGGAAUGCGUGGUGUAGCGGUGAAAUGCAUAGAUAUCACGCAGAACCCCGAUUGCGAAGGCGACCUGCUAGAACAUAACUGACGCUGAUGCGCGAAAGCGUGGGGAGCAAACAGGAUUAGAUACCCCAGUAGUC